CAGUCGCCACGGGAAUACGGAGGGAGCUAGCGUUGUUCGGAAUUACUGGGCGUAAAGCGCGCGUAGGCGGUUACUCAAGUCAGAGGUGAAAGCCCGGGGCUCAACCCCGGAACUGCCUUUGAAACUAGGUGACUAGAAUCUUGGAGAGGUCAGUGGAAUUCCGAGUGUAGAGGUGAAAUUCGUAGAUAUUCGGAAGAACACCAGUGGCGAAGGCGACUGACUGGACAAGUAUUGACGCUGAGGUGCGAAAGCGUGGGGAGCAAACAGGAUUAGAGACCCCGGUAGUCCCUGUCUCUUAUAC
This 301-nucleotide ribosomal RNA is filed under the name uncultured bacterium. RNAcentral's name for it is "partial 16S ribosomal RNA". It matches the Rfam family "Bacterial small subunit ribosomal RNA", at positions 509 to 807 of the family's 1533-position model. The record is from RNAcentral.